UUGGACACAAUCGCGCAAAGGGUGCUCAACGAAUUGGACAAUAUCCAAAAAUUAAUUUGAAUCAGACGGAGCCGCCAUUUUCAGAAAGGCCUACGUAAUUCUUCAGUAUGUCUUACGUGACCCACCCCGCAGAGUUUGAGGCGGAUCCUAUUAUGUUUGAGGCCCCCGAGGUGGGAGUUACGGAUCUCCUAACGCCGAAGCCUAAUAAGGAAUUUUGUUGAAGUUGGAGAGGGUUUUGAAGAGUUGGCCAGCGGACAGGUGGUAAGAGGAACAAUGGCUUGAGAGAGCUAAAAUAUGAACAACAGCCUUGUUUCUCUGGCUAUAAAUUGUUCUCAAUCUCUGAGAAGUAGCCGUCAAACAAGAUGGGAAGACUGACAAGGCUAUAUCGACUCGGCUAUCGGUGCUGAUCAAGGAUAUAUGUAUAUGGGGCCGGAAAGGCUUUAAUGAAAUGCCGAAAUGGCGAAAUGAAUCCAUCUGGACAGCUAUCUUGCUUCUAAAAAAAUGU
This is a long non-coding RNA of Drosophila miranda, 505 nucleotides long. RefSeq lists it as uncharacterized. The record is from RefSeq and is a predicted model, not a curated record. NCBI's taxonomy places the organism in Eukaryota, Metazoa, Arthropoda, Insecta, Diptera, Drosophilidae. The transcript has 3 exons.